Molecule: ribosomal RNA, 379 nt
Filed under: uncultured eukaryote
Lineage: Eukaryota
Description: partial 18S ribosomal RNA
Rfam family: Eukaryotic small subunit ribosomal RNA
Source: RNAcentral
CAAUAGCGUAUAUUUAAGUUGUUGCAGUUAAAAAGCUCGUAGUUGGAUUUCGGUUGAGAGCGGCCGGUCCGCCGUUUGGUGUGCACUGGUCGUGCCUAUCUUGCUGCCGGGGACGCGCUCCUGGCCUUAAUUGGCUGGGACGCGGAGUCGGCGAUGUUACUUUGAAAAAAUUAGAGUGUUCAAAGCAGGCCUAAGCUCUGAAUACAUUAGCAUGGAAUAACGCUAUAGGACUCUGGUCUUAUUGCGUUGGUCUUCGAGACCGGAGUAAUGAUUAAGAGGGACAGUUGGGGGCAUUCGUAUUUCAUUGUCAGAGGUGAAAUUCUUGGAUUUAUGAAAGACGAACUUCUGCGAAAGCAUUUGCCAAGGAUGUUUUCAUUAA